AAUAACAGGCUAACUUUUUUUAUAUAAUAAAAUAAGAUCUUUAUGACUUGCUAUGCAGCCUACAAAUGCGACAUCAGAAGGAUGCAGCCUUCCGUUUGAGAAACAGCAUGGGCUAAUAUGAUUAGCAAGAGAAGACAGUUUUAGGGCAGUGUCAAAACAUCGACGAAUGGAUAUGGCACAGGCAAGACACAAGAAUAAUCCAAACCGGUCAGUCAACAGAAUCCAGGAGGGGUUAUCCAGAAACAUGAGCAAUAGUCCAGGCAAGGUGAAUGUGUGCAAUCAGUGCAAUGGCUGAUGGGAAAUGCAGUCCAGGGUGGAGUGCAACAUUCUGUGUGGUGUGAGAGGGAACAUACAGAAGAGCGUCCUCUGGUGACAACUGACUGAAAGCAUGGAAUUAACAACAGUUAUAUGGUAAAGGCUAAAGGAAAACAACAGAUGCGUCCACAUUUAAUCUGACG
This is a long non-coding RNA of Puntigrus tetrazona (Sumatra barb), 458 nucleotides long. RefSeq lists it as uncharacterized. The transcript has 3 exons. NCBI's taxonomy places the organism in Eukaryota, Metazoa, Chordata, Actinopteri, Cypriniformes, Cyprinidae. The record is from RefSeq and is a predicted model, not a curated record.